CCCCGCCUUCCGGCUCCGGCAGCGACGCUCGCCUUUCGCUGCCGCCGCCGCCGCGCCACCGGUGUCAACCUCCUUCGGGAGACUCCAUUUGCUCUCAGCACGAGCUGGCCGCCGUGCAGGCAGGCGGAGAGCGAUGCCCGCAGUCGGNUGGCUGGCCGCGGCGGUGACACCCUGGUCGCCCGCGUCCAGGCAGAAUCCGGGCUCCCUCCGCGGGAGGAAAGACGUCCCGCGCUCCGGAGCUCGCGCGGCGGGGAGAGGCCCUGGCUAACAAGGCUUCCCUCUGACCUCUUAAUUUCAGGAGGUUUCAGAGGCUGCGUACGAGUACCUAUACAGCCCUCACAGGAACUUCUGUUGGCCCAUGGAGGAUCAUCUCUCACCAGGACUAUUGUAACAUCUUCACCGAGCUUUCCACCCUACAGCCUCUACCUUGGGUUCUGAUUUCUACCCAUGAAGUUUUUUGAUGCUUUCUUUAAUCACGAGGCAUUACCUCUUGCCCACCUUUCCCCUUUCCAAUAGCAAAUUACAUUAGGUGUAAGUUUGUGUUGAGUUAAAGUACAGAGUUUUCUGCUUGUCCACUUUCACCUCAUUUGCACCUCUUAUGUCCAGCUUGCCUUAACUUGCUACGAUUUUUCAUAAGCACUCCCCUAUGUAACCUAUAGCAAUCCUUGACUGGAAAAGAGCAUCCCUUAUUGUCCAUUGCCCUACUAAGACAACACAGUGAGGGAAUGAGUUUUCCCAUUGUUUUUUCCAGUAUGUCAAGUUUGCAAGUCCUAUAUUGCGUUUAUUUUCUUGCACAUAUCCCAAAAUACCGCAACCUCAGUCUUAGUGCUUUAGGGAAAAACCUUCUUUGUAAUGAUGGCAACUGUUAAGUGUUUAAGAGGACUGUUUUAGAGACCUUGUAGUGUAGCUUUGGUUCAACUUCUAACCUCCAGUAAGAUUGCAGUUCAUGAAAAGACUUCAAACUAAGAGGAAGGUAGGGUUAAUUGGAGCGUUCCCUGUUGUAAGAACUUUGUUUUAAAAUGAAAGUGAAGAGGUUGCUGUAGACCUUGUCAGAAAAUUGGUGGUUACUCUAGGUCUUCAGGGCAGAGGAGGGAUCUAAUGCUCCAUAUUGUAAUCUCUGUAUUCAAAUUUAAGUUGUUAAUUAUCUUGUUCCAGGAAUCACC
This 1163-nucleotide long non-coding RNA is filed under the name Marmota marmota marmota (Alpine marmot). RNAcentral describes it as "lncRNA (ENSMMMG00000006306.1)". Lineage: Eukaryota; Metazoa; Chordata; Mammalia; Rodentia; Sciuridae. The record is from RNAcentral.